UAGGGAAUCUACCGCAAUGGACGAAAGUCUGACGGAGCAACGCCGCGUGAGUGAAGAAGGAUUUCGGUUCGUAAAACUCUGUUGUUAGGGAAGAAAAAAUGUAUAGUAACUAUAUACAAAAGAGACGGUACCUAACCAGAAAGCCACGGCUAACUACGUGCCAGCAGCCGCGGUAAUACGUAGGUGGCAAGCGUUGUCCGGAAUUAUUGGGCGUAAAGCGCGCGCAGGUGGUUUAGAAAGUCUGAUGUGAAAGCCCACGGCUCAACCGUGGAGGGUCAUUGGAAACUAAUAAACUUGAGUGCAGGAGAGAAAAGUGGAAUUCCUAGUGUAGCGGUGAAAUGCGUAGAGAUUAGGAGGAACACCGGUGGCGAAAGCGGCUUUUUGGCCUGCAACUGACACUGAGGCGCGAAAGCGUGGGGAGCAAACAGG
This 429-nucleotide ribosomal RNA is filed under the name Verrucomicrobiota bacterium. RNAcentral describes it as "Verrucomicrobia bacterium partial 16S ribosomal RNA". It matches the Rfam family "Bacterial small subunit ribosomal RNA", at positions 355 to 776 of the family's 1533-position model. The record is from RNAcentral. Lineage: Bacteria; Pseudomonadati; Verrucomicrobiota.